CAGUCGCCGCGGUAAUGCGUAGGUGGCAAGCGUUGUCCGGAAUUAUUGGGCGUAAAGGGUGCGUAGGCGGCCCCGCAAGUCUCAUGUGAAAUCUUCAGGCUCAACUUGAAGUCUGCAUGGGAAACUGCGGGGCUGGAGUAUGGGAGAGGUGAGUGGAAUUCCUGGUGUAGCGGUGAAAUGCGUAGAUAUAUGGAGGAACACCGGUGGCGAAAGCGGCUCUCUGGUCUGUAACUGACGCUGAGGCUCGAAAGCGUGGGGAGCAAACAGGAUUAGAGACCUGGGUAGUCCCUGUCUCUUAUAC
Molecule: ribosomal RNA, 301 nt
Filed under: uncultured bacterium
Lineage: Bacteria
Description: partial 16S ribosomal RNA
Rfam family: Bacterial small subunit ribosomal RNA
Source: RNAcentral